UACGUAGGGUGCAAGCGUUGUCCGGAAUUAUUGGGCGUAAAGAGCUUGUAGGCGGUUUGUCGCGUCUGCUGUGAAAUUUCGGGGCUCAACCCCGAACUUGCAGUGGGUGCGGGCAGACUAGAGUGUGGUAGGGGAGACUGGAAUUCCUGGGUGUAGCGGUGAAAUGCGCAGAGUAUCAGGAGGAACACCGAUGGCGAAGGCAGGUCUCUGGGCCACUACUGACGGCUGGAGAAGC
Molecule: ribosomal RNA, 235 nt
Filed under: uncultured bacterium
Lineage: Bacteria
Description: partial 16S ribosomal RNA
Rfam family: Bacterial small subunit ribosomal RNA
Source: RNAcentral